Molecule: ribosomal RNA, 465 nt
Filed under: Triticum aestivum (bread wheat)
Lineage: Eukaryota; Viridiplantae; Streptophyta; Magnoliopsida; Poales; Poaceae
Description: partial small subunit ribosomal RNA
Source: RNAcentral
AUGAAACCUCUGAAUACCACUAUCCAAUUGGUGUCGGAUCUCAUUGAUCCGGAGAACUGGUCGUGGCGACAGGAGCUAGUUCGAUCAACUUUCAUUGCCCCGAACGUGGAAGCAAUCCUUAAUGCACCAAUCAGGCAUGGGGGUGGUGAUGAUUUUUUUGCUUGGGCCUUUGAGACUUUAGGUAACUAUACUAUUAAAUCGGCGUACCGUGCUCUAAUGACCCAGAACGAGUGUCUUGCUCUAGGAGAAGGGGCGGAUACCGAUGCUUCAAGAGAUGAAAAACAGUUGUGGAGUGCUUUGUGGAAACUCAAAGUUAUCCCAAAGGUUCAUGUGUUUUGGUGGCGUGUACUUCGACGGAUCCUACCUGAUGAAUGCACACUCAAACACCAUCAUAUUGAGGUCAUUGAUAGAUUCAAUGUUUGCUUGGCAAUGGAGGAAGAUCUCAUGCACGCCCUUAUUCACUGA